GACGAACGCUGGCGGCGUGCCUAAUACAUGCAAGUCGAACGCAUUUUCUUUCACCGUAGCUUGCUACACCGAAAGAAAAUGAGUGGCGAACGGGUGAGUAACACGUGGGUAACCUGCCCAUCAGCGAGGGAUAACACUUGGAAACAGGAGCUAAUACCGCAUAAUUCCAUUUACCGCAUGGUAGAUGGACUAAAGGCGCUUUUGCGUCCCUGAUGGAUGUACCCGCGGUGCAUUGGCUAGUUGGUGGGGUAACGGCCUACCAAGGCUGCGAUGCAUAGGCGGACUGAGGAGGAGAACGGCCCACAUGGGAAUUAGAACACGCCCCGACUCCUUAGGGGAGCAGCAGUAGGGGAUCUUCGGACAUUGGGGGAAGGCUUACCGAGCAAAGCCGCGUUAGUGGAGAAGGUUUUCGGGUCGGAAAACUCUGUUGUUAGAGAAGAAAAAGGAUGAGAGUAGAAAGUUCAUCCCUUGACGGUAUCUAAACAGUAAGCAACGGCUAACUACGUG
This 507-nucleotide ribosomal RNA is filed under the name uncultured bacterium. Its description in RNAcentral is "partial 16S ribosomal RNA". It matches the Rfam family "Bacterial small subunit ribosomal RNA", at positions 28 to 507 of the family's 1533-position model. The record is from RNAcentral.